This 1280-nucleotide long non-coding RNA is filed under the name Nicotiana tabacum (common tobacco). RNAcentral's name for it is "long non-coding RNA (NTAB_LNC001213)". The record is from RNAcentral. Lineage: Eukaryota; Viridiplantae; Streptophyta; Magnoliopsida; Solanales; Solanaceae.
CAGCACCAUCUUUCUCUUUAUCCUUCUUUUUCUUUUCCUUUUUUGCCGUCUCUACAUCAGGGGUUGCAGCUUCAUCAGCUUCUUUCUUCUUUUUCUUCUUUUCUUUCUUUGUGACUUGAACCUCCACAGCUUCAUCUCCAGCUUUCUUCUCCUCGACUAUCUCUACCUUUGGUUUCUUUAAAGCACUGGGUGCAGGGGAUGCAUCUAAGUCAUCUAAUUUUCUCUUGUUACCCUCCUCCUCCUCAUCUUCCUUAUGUUUCUUCUUCUUUUUCUUCUCAACAUCACCAACUGCACCAUCAGCAGGCACCACAUCAGGAUCAGUUUUCACAUUAGCAGCAGCGAGACCAGCAACCAUAGCGUCCCCUCCUGUAGGCAAAACAACAUUCCUCAACCACUCAGCUGGAGUUUUCUCAUUUGGCUUUCCAUGUUUAUCCAACUUCCCCUCAGCAACCAACUUUUUCUUCAUCGAAGCCCUCGGCCCCAAGCCCCAUUUCCUAGGAUAAGUAUCCCUAUCCAUCACCACUCUCUUAAUCUUAGCAACAACACCAUGAUCACAAGUGGCCAUAACAGCAGUGGUCAUUUCCGCAAUCCCCAAUGCUAUGGCCUCCCCUUUAGUAGUCAUCAGCACAACCUCCUCACCAACCUCGAUAUCAUUCUCAAACCUCAAAAGCCCGGGAAUCAUCAACUUUGCACCGUAACAAAUAGCAUUCACUGCCGAAUCCUUAACCACCAACCUCUUAUAACUAGUCAAAACCACCUCCAAUGGCAUAAUUACCCUCCUCAAGUAAGUCUCAUCCCUAUAGUUAUCAUACAUCCAUUGUGCAUCCAUCACAUCGUGCAUCGUCACCAUAUUAUUCUUCUCACCCAAAAUCCCAGACCUCACUCUCCUCAACUCCUGCAUAUGUCCACCCACGCCCAGCAACAAUCCAAGAUGCACACAAAGCGUCCGAACAUACGUACCAGCCUCACACGAUAUCCAAAACACAACCAAAUGCCUAUCAGCAUCAUACUCAAGCAACUUACUUUCAUAAAUAGUUCUAAUCCUAAGUUGUCUUUUCACAGCAGAAAUCAAAGGUGGUCUUUGAAACACAGCCCCAGUUAAAGCCUCAAGUGCUCUAGCUACCUUAGCAACAUCAGGGACAUCAGCAUGUAAUCUAGCAACACAAACAUAUUCUUUACCAGCACCCUGUUGGGAUUUAACCAAACGGGUCGCUCUAUCAAUGCAAACGAUCAAAUUACCAGUAACUUUAGGAUCAAGAGUACCACUGUGACCCGUUUUC